Molecule: transfer RNA, 77 nt
Filed under: uncultured archaeon
Lineage: Archaea
Description: tRNA-Ile(tat)
Source: RNAcentral
AGUCCUGUAGCUCAAUUGGUUAGAGCGUUCUCCUUAUAAGAGAGAGGUUCUUCGUUCAAAUCGAAGCAGGAUUACCA